This 698-nucleotide ribosomal RNA is filed under the name uncultured archaeon. Its description in RNAcentral is "bacterial SSU rRNA". It matches the Rfam family "Archaeal small subunit ribosomal RNA", at positions 103 to 847 of the family's 1478-position model. The record is from RNAcentral.
GUCAAUCUACCGCAGAGAGGGGAAUAACCUUGGGAAACUGAGGCUAAUACCACAUAGUAGGGCUGGAAAGGCCUAUAAAAAUGCACUGCUCUGCGAUGAGACUGCGUCGGAUCAGGCAGAUGCGGGGUAACGGCCCACAUACCUUUGACCCGUAUGGGAUAUGAGAGUAAGAGCCCAGAGAAGGGACUGAGACAUGGCCCUAGCGCUACGGCGUGCAGCAGGCGCGCAAACUCCACAAUGCAAUACUGUGAUGGGGGGAAUCUGAGUGGUUACUUGGUGAACCUUUUGCAGUUUAGCAAGCUGGAGAAUAAGUGCUGGGUAAGACCGGUGGCAGCCGCCACGGUAAUACCGGCGGCACAAGUGGUAUUCACAAUUAUUGGGCUUAAAGCGUUAGUAGCCGGCUGAACAGUCUUGGUGAAAUGUGGUGCAUGACUCACACGUCUAAGAUACCUUCGGCUAGGGAGUGGGAGAGGUUGGAGUAUUCAGGGGUAAGGGUAAAAUCUCGUAAUCCUUGAAGACUACCGGUGGCGAAGGCGCCAACCAGAACACUCCGACGGUGAGUGACGAAGGCCAGGAGAACGAAUCGGAUUAGAUACCCGAGUAGCCCUGGCAGUAAAUGAUGCAACUUGGUGUUCGUAUCCGAAUAAUGAGUACCGAGGACAACUGUUAAGUUGCCGCCUGGGGAGUACGGCCGCAAG